GCGGAGAUCAUGGCAAACUGCCAAACUCCCGCCGGCUGAGCCCCUUGGUCAAUUUAGUCAACUCUUGGCCCAGUCAAACGAAUUCCAAGAGGAGAGAAAGAGAAAUCUAGGUCUUGCUCGCCCACCGCUUCGUGAAAUUUUGAUCUGGGCACUCCAACAAGAGGCGAAGAACACCACAUUGAGGUACUCGCGCGUGAAUUCUUAGCUUGGAUUGUUCUGGCUUGAAUACAUUUCUUCCCACAUGAUCUCUACAAAACUUUGUUUUCCAGGUAGAUUCUCGUAGAAAGUACGCGCUUCGAAAGAAAUGCGCACGAAUUCUCUACGCUAAGAAACGCUGUCUACUUUUCUCCAUAAGUAUCUCGUCGUCUCCAUUUCUUUCCCAAUUUCCACUCGAGGUACGCUAUCCUUUGGUCAAAAGCUUCUUUUUUUUCCUUCUUCCUCUUUUGUUCGUGCGUAAGCACUACGUAAGUGUGAUCGAGAGAUCUCUCGCAUGGUUUGGCAGUGAAUUCGUGUGCUUGUGUGUGUGUUGCUACCAUUGACGGUGGCUGUCGCUGUGGCCCCUCCUUCCACUUUGUCCUUUCUUCCACUCAGUGGAGAACAUCUCAUUCGUUUUCUGGCGAGAGCUAAAGUUGUGGAGCGAUAGCCUGUGCGUGUGUGUGUGUGUGUACUUUUGUUCCUCUUCCUAAGGCUGCGCCCCCUUUGUUUCUCAUUGUUUUUGCUCGUCCCCCUUUUCAACAGGCUCCGGGUUUCCAUCGUCGCUGCGCAGAAAAUGGCUUCUUUUCGCAAGAUAGUGCUUGCAUCACUACUAUCAUGCUUGCUCCUCGCCGCUGUUGCCACUGAAACCGAAGGUAGAGCGAGCCUUUCUCUCUUUUGUUUUCUCCUUUUUUACUCUAGAACCGAUUGUGUUCCUGAUUCUUCCGUGGAAUUCUAGCAGAUGAGAGCUUGGUGGCAGCACAGGACCAGGUAAAAACUCUUGUUUUCUCGUUUUUUCGUACUGUUCUUUAGCCGCGUGAUAGGAUCUCUUUUAACUUUCAUUCGUUCGUAUUGCAUAAUCUCACCCCCACUGUGUCUUCGCCUUUCGAGACUAGUAGAUGAGGUAAAAAGCUCUUUUUCUUUUUGCUGCGUUUCGCCACUGUUCUUCGCGUAAUCUCCAGUUAUUAAAGCUCUUCGUUUUCGCCAAAGAACUUAUACUUCCUAUUCUUCAGGCUCUUAACUUCGACCGUGGAUUCGCCAUGGAACAGAUGCUAUCACGGAUCCAGAGCAAAAAGCUUCGUCGCGAGAGAAACUUGGUCCACACAAACGACUACGCCGAUCCAUCGCCAAACACCGAUCCAAAGCGCGGCCCGCCGAAAUCAGGAUAAGUAUAGAACUCGUUGGAAGCGCGUGUAAAUUUACUCUACGCGGAUAUCAAGUCCAUGGUUGUUUUAUACAUGGCUGACUCUUUGGCUUCCUCAAAGGAAGCAUAGUGUGUUUUGCUGGCCAGCAUCAACAAUGAAUCUAUAAUAUACAAAUGGUUUGUGGCUUAUAAUGCUGGUAGAAUAGUGUUCUAUCAAUUUAUAAGCAGCAGCUUGCAGAGAGGCCAGCCACAAUAUAUGACCACUUUGAUGGUGUGA
RNAcentral lists this long non-coding RNA (1613 nucleotides) under Selaginella moellendorffii. RNAcentral describes it as "long non-coding RNA (SMOE_LNC001268)". Lineage: Eukaryota; Viridiplantae; Streptophyta; Lycopodiopsida; Selaginellales; Selaginellaceae. The record is from RNAcentral.